UAUUAUUAAGUAUUACCUGCUCAAUGAAUCUUUAAUAGCCGCAGAAAUUUAACUGUGCUAAGGUAGCAUAAUCAUUAGCUCUUUAAUUAAGGGCUCGUAUGAAUGGUUAAACAUUUUAUACACUAUAAUUCUUUUAAUUAAUAAAAAUUUAACUAAGAAUAAAAAUGUUCUUAUAACUUAAAUAGACGAUAAGACCCUAUUGAACUUUACUUUAGUUUAACUGGGGCAGUUAACUAAUAAUAAUCUUAAUUUUUAUAAUUUUAUAAAUACCCAAUCAAUUUGAUUUCGAAUAAGUUACCAUAGGGAUAACAGCGUAAUUUGUUUCUAAAGCUCUUAUUUAAAAACAAGAUUGCGACCUCGAUGUUGAAUUAAUAGUUCUUUUUAAAUGCAACCAUUUUAAAAGUAGGUCUGUUCGACCAUUAAAACAUUACA
This 432-nucleotide ribosomal RNA is filed under the name Gasteracantha diardi. RNAcentral's name for it is "partial 16S ribosomal RNA". It matches the Rfam family "Bacterial large subunit ribosomal RNA", at positions 1841 to 2600 of the family's 2925-position model. The record is from RNAcentral. Lineage: Eukaryota; Metazoa; Arthropoda; Arachnida; Araneae; Araneidae.